GACGAACGCUGGCGGCGUGCUUAACACAUGCAAGUCGAGCGGAAAGGCCCUUCGGGGGUACGACGAGCGGCGAACGGGUGAGUAACACGUGAGCAACCUACCUUCGACUCUGGGAUAAGCCCGGGAAACCGGGUCUAAUACCGGAUAUCAUCUCCAUCUUCAUGGGUGGGGUUGAAAGCUCCGGCGGUUGGGGAGUGGGCUCGCGGCCUAUCAGCUUGUUGGUGGGGUAAUGGCCUACCAAGGCUUCGACGGGUAGCCGGCCUGAGAGGGCGACCGGCCACACUGGGACUGAGACACGGCCCAGACUCCUACGGGAGGCAGCAGUGGGGAAUAUUGCGCAAUGGGCGGAAGCCUGACGCAGCAACGCCGCGUGAGGGAUGACGG
RNAcentral lists this ribosomal RNA (384 nucleotides) under uncultured bacterium. RNAcentral describes it as "bacterial SSU rRNA". It matches the Rfam family "Bacterial small subunit ribosomal RNA", at positions 28 to 414 of the family's 1533-position model. The record is from RNAcentral.